RNAcentral lists this ribosomal RNA (450 nucleotides) under uncultured bacterium. RNAcentral describes it as "partial 16S ribosomal RNA". It matches the Rfam family "Bacterial small subunit ribosomal RNA", at positions 329 to 795 of the family's 1533-position model. The record is from RNAcentral.
UCCCAGACUCCUACGGGAGGCAGCAGUGGGGGAUAUUGCACAAUGGGGGGAACCCUGAUGCAGCGACGCCGCGUGGGUGAAGGAGUAUUUCGGUAUGUAAAGCCCUAUCGGCAGGGAAGAAGCAAGACGGUACCUGACUAAGAAGCCCCGGCUAACUACGUGCCAGCAGCCGCGGUAAUACGUAGGGGGCGAGCGUUAUCCGGAUUCACUGGGCGUAAAGGGAGCGUAGACGGCCAAGCAAGCCAGGGGUGAAAGCCCGGGGCCCAACCCCGGGACUGCCCUUGGAACUGCUUGGCUGGAGUGCGGGAGGGGCAGGCGGAAUUCCUGGUGUAGCGGUGAAAUGCGUAGAUAUCAGGAGGAACACCGGCGGCGAAGGCGGCCUGCUGGACCGCGACUGACGUUGAGGCUCGAAAGUGUGGGUAUCAAACAGGAUUAGAUACCCCCGUAGUA